Molecule: long non-coding RNA, 731 nt
Organism: Aegilops tauschii subsp. strangulata
Lineage: Eukaryota; Viridiplantae; Streptophyta; Magnoliopsida; Poales; Poaceae
Source: RefSeq, a predicted model, not a curated record
UGUAAUUCUUUUUGCAGCCUUCCGCGUGGGCGGCAGCCUCACUGGAACGGGAGUGCACUAUUUGCAAAGGGGCGCCCACACCACUGCUCUGGAACGCGAAGACUGCGCAAGGUACACGGGUGGGAACCCCGCUGCCCAUUUGCUGGGAUUGUUACGGAAAAAUCUUGGCCGGCGGCAGGCCUCUAGAUCAUCUAGAGCAAUAUCUUGCCUCUACAGCUGUCGGUGGCGGCGGCGGGUCGAUACCGGAGUUUCUUGCAGCUCACGGUCACGGCGGCGGAUACUCUCAGUGGGCGGCUAAUCCAGUUGUCAGGACACUAUGCAUCACUACACUAGUUAUCUGAACUUCCUGUCUCUGAACAUACCUGAAGAAAUCGAUAUCUUCUCUCAAGAAUUCGACAGCAACUGAGUAUCAAGGCGCGAACCGGAUCGCUACCAGGGAGACGGACGGCUGGGAUGCUCUCCAGUUAUGGAAGAUGAACGGCUCUCGAAGAUUGUUCAGUGUCCGACAAUAGCUACACUUGACUGUAAGUAGCUUUUGGUGGUCGACCGGCAUCACCACCGCCAUUGCUGAAUGUCCUCUUAACUGCUGAGCCUUUUAUGCUUUGCUCUGUUUUGUUUGCUAUAUUCAAGUGCUCUGACAAUAGUAAAUGAUACCUCCUACUUUCUGUGGAUGUCAGUGUUAACUCGUUAAUCUUUGGUUUUGCCUCAAGUGUUUGACUGAUUAACUUUCA